UACAGAGGUCUCAAGCGUUGUUCGGAUUCAUUGGGCGUAAAGGGUGCGUAGGUGGCGCCGUAAGUCAGGUGUGAAAUUUCGAGGCUUAACCUCGAAACUGCAUUUGAUACUGCGGUGCUUGAGGACUGGAGAGGAGACUGGAAUUCAUGGUGUAGCAGUGAAAUGCGUAGAUAUCGGGAGGAACACCUGUGGCGAAAGCGGCGCACUGGACCAUAACUGACGCUGAUGCGCGAAAGCUAGGGGAGCAAACAGG
This 253-nucleotide ribosomal RNA is filed under the name uncultured bacterium. RNAcentral describes it as "partial 16S ribosomal RNA". It matches the Rfam family "Bacterial small subunit ribosomal RNA", at positions 524 to 776 of the family's 1533-position model. The record is from RNAcentral.